This 300-nucleotide unclassified non-coding RNA is filed under the name uncultured Hypocreales. RNAcentral's name for it is "sequence contains 5.8S rRNA gene, ITS2". The stretch from base 1 to 74 matches the Rfam family "5.8S ribosomal RNA", at positions 81 to 154 of the family's 154-position model. Lineage: Eukaryota; Fungi; Ascomycota; Sordariomycetes; Hypocreales. The record is from RNAcentral.
GAGGUGAGUCAUCGAAUCUUUGAACGCACAUUGCGCCCGCUAGUAUUCUGGCGGGCAUGCCUGUUCGAGCGUCAUUUCAACCCUCAAGCCCUCCGGCUUGGUGUUGGGGACCGGCCGCCUGCCUCACGGCGGCGGCCGCCCCCGAAAUUCAGUGGCGGUCUCGCUGUAGCUUCCCCUGCGUAGUAAUUCACCUCGCACUGGAACGCGGCGCGGCCACGCCGUAAAACCCCCAACUUCUGAAGGUUGACCUCGGAUCAGGUAGGAAUACCCGCUGAACUUAAGCAUAUCAAUAAGCGGAGG